CUUCUUUGGGUCUUCUUUCUCACAGACGCUUAGCUGCUGUCAUUAGCUAAUCAUGCUAAGUGUUGCGUGUUAAGUAUUUGGUGAGCAGUGAUGUGUGGGAGCACCAAACACUGAGCCGAGUUGAGGUACCAGGACACCUCCUUCUAUGUCCGCAUGGGGGGGUCAGAGAACCAUGAGACAAAAGCCUCCAAGCUGUGACGCAGUCAAGCACCAGUGUGACGUCAGAGGGUCCAGGAAUGUUGUAGAAGAUGGUCAGUGUGAGCAUCCGUGAAGAGGCAAGACAGGCCCAAGGCAGCGUGGGCGCUACAUGACAUCCACG
Dunckerocampus dactyliophorus (ringed pipefish) is the source of this 319-nucleotide long non-coding RNA. RefSeq lists it as uncharacterized. The record is from RefSeq and is a predicted model, not a curated record. Lineage: Eukaryota; Metazoa; Chordata; Actinopteri; Syngnathiformes; Syngnathidae. The transcript has 3 exons.